Molecule: ribosomal RNA, 465 nt
Filed under: uncultured bacterium
Lineage: Bacteria
Description: partial 16S ribosomal RNA
Rfam family: Bacterial small subunit ribosomal RNA
Source: RNAcentral
CCUACGGGGCGCAGCAGUAGGGAAUCUUCCACAAUGGGCGAAAGCCUGAUGGAGCAACGCCGCGUGGGUGAAGAAGGUCUUCGGAUCGUAAAACCCUGUUGUUAGAGAAGAAAGUGCGUGAGAGUAACUGUUCACGUUUCGACGGUAUCUAACCAGAAAGCCACGGCUAACUACGGGCCAGCAGCCGCGGUAAUACGUAGGUGGCAAGCUUUAUCCGGAUUUAUUGGGCGUAAAGGGAACGCAGGCGGUCUUUUAAGUCUGAUGUGAAAGCCUUCGGCUUAACCGGAGUAGUGCAUUGGAAACUGGGAGACGUGAGUGCAGAAGAGGAGAGUGGAACUCCAUGUGUAGCGGUGAAAUGCGUAGAUAUAUGGAAGAACACCAGUGGCGAAAGCGGCUCUCUGGUCUGUAACUGACGCUGAGGUUCGAAAGCGUGGGUAGCAAACAGGAUUAGAUACCCGGGUAGUC